This 640-nucleotide ribosomal RNA is filed under the name Alexandrium minutum. Its description in RNAcentral is "LSU rRNA". It matches the Rfam family "Eukaryotic large subunit ribosomal RNA", at positions 43 to 699 of the family's 3401-position model. Lineage: Eukaryota; Dinophyceae; Gonyaulacales; Pyrocystaceae. The record is from RNAcentral.
UAAGUAGGCGGUGGAAAAUGAACCAAAUGGGAUUCCUUAAGUAAUUGCGAAUGAACAAGGAAAUGCUCAGCUUGAAAAAUGGGGCCUUUGGCUUUGAAUUGUAAUUUUGAAAUGUAUUGCCAAUGGAGGCGCAGGUGCAAGCCUAUUGAAAGAAAGCGUCAAUGAGGGUGAAAUUCCUUUUUGUCAUUUGCAGUCCUCCGUGCACGGUAUAUAUUUGACGAGUCACACUCCUCGGCAUUGGAAUGCAAAGUGGGUGGUAAAUUCCAUGUAAAGGUAAAUAUAUUAUUGAGACUGAUAGCAAACAAGUACCAUGAGGGAAAUAUGAAAAGGACUUUGAAAAGGGAAUUAAAAGAGUCUGCAUUUGCUGAACAGAAAGCAAACAGAAUUGAUGUGCUUGGUGAGAUUGUUGUGCCCACUCUGUCAUUUAUGUCGGAUGUGGGUGCGAUGGUUCUUACCUUGAAUGUCAGCUUCUAUUUCUGCAAAUCAUUACCCUUGCACAUGAAUGGUAAUUUGCCUGCGGGUAUUGGAAUGUGUGUGUUUGCAAUGAUUUGUGAUUUGAUGCAUGUGGUUGGUGGACUUUGUAUGUGCUGUUUUGCCAACGGGGAAGGGACUCUUCCUUGAGCACUGCAAGCCCUUGCAC